This 460-nucleotide ribosomal RNA is filed under the name uncultured bacterium. RNAcentral's name for it is "partial 16S ribosomal RNA". It matches the Rfam family "Bacterial small subunit ribosomal RNA", at positions 338 to 795 of the family's 1533-position model. The record is from RNAcentral.
CCUACGGGUGGCAGCAGUGAGGAAUAUUGGUCAAUGGGCGCAAGCCUGAACCAGCCAAGUAGCGUGAAGGAUGACUGCCCUACGGGUUGUAAACUUCUUUUAUAAGGGAAUAAAGUUAUGCACGUGUGCCUUUUUGUAUGUACUUUAUGAAUAAGCAUCGGCUAACUCCGUGCCAGCAGCCGCGGUAAUACGGAGGAUACGAGCGUUAUCCGGAUUUAUUGGGUUUAAAGGGAGCGUAGAUGGGUUUUUAAGUCAGUUGUGAAAGUUUGCGGCUCAACCUGAAAAUUGCAAUUGAUACUGGAAGACUUGAGUGCAGUUGAGGUAGGCGGAAUUCGUGGUGUAGCGGUGAAAUGCUUAGAUAUCACGAAGAACUCCGAUUGCGAAGGCAGCUUACUAAACUGUAACUGACACUGAUGCUCGAAAGCGUGGGGAUCAAACAGGAUUAGAUACCCCAGUAGUC